UAGUUUACUGCCUGUUUUGUGUGUUUUUUUACAUUUUUCUAGUUCAGAGUUCAUCACUGUUUUUGUAUUUUUACUGAAGUGAGUUGUUUGUUUUUUAUUAAAAUAAAGAUCUCUGAUCUCUGUGAUUUUCUCUCAGUCUUAUCCACUGAUUUAAAGCUUGAUGAUCUUUGUUAUACCCAUCGCUUGCAGCAGAGGGCGCUGUCUCCACUGAGCAUUUGAGCUCCCAGUUUCCUCUUUGGCAGAGUAGCAGAGUCACAGCAGAGAAGAACAGAGGAAUCAGAGGAUGAUGAGGCUCAGCUCUGUCGUGUGUCUGCUGAUCGGGACUUCUCUGAGGACUGUGUCUCCUGCUGAGGGAGGGACAACUGGAAAACUUCUAGCCAUCGUGAUUGCAGCCGUUUUGGGUCUAAUAGGAGGAACAUAUAUCCUGAUAAAGUACUGCAUAAAGAAAUACAGAGGUCGACAAGAAAACAACACCAGUGAGUCAGUGCUGCACUGAGCUACAGUAAGCUGAC
Long non-coding RNA from Lates calcarifer (barramundi perch), 512 nucleotides. RefSeq lists it as uncharacterized. The transcript has 3 exons. The record is from RefSeq and is a predicted model, not a curated record. NCBI's taxonomy places the organism in Eukaryota, Metazoa, Chordata, Actinopteri, Centropomidae.